This 977-nucleotide ribosomal RNA is filed under the name uncultured bacterium. Its description in RNAcentral is "bacterial SSU rRNA". It matches the Rfam family "Bacterial small subunit ribosomal RNA", at positions 28 to 1009 of the family's 1533-position model. The record is from RNAcentral.
GAUGAACGCUAGCGGCAGGCUUAACACAUGCAAGUCGAGGGGUAGGAGAAGCUUGCUUUUCUGAGACCGGCGCACGGGUGCGUAACGCGUAUGCAAUCUACCUUUCACAGAGGGAUAGCCCAGAGAAAUUUGGAUUAAUACCUCAUAGUAUAGUUGAAUGGCAUCAUUUAAUUAUUAAAGAUUUAUCGGUGAAAGAUGAGCAUGCGUCCCAUUAGCUAGUUGGUAUGGUAACGGCAUACCAAGGCAACGAUGGGUAGGGGUCCUGAGAGGGAGAUCCCCCACACUGGUACUGAGACACGGACCAGACUCCUACGGGAGGCAGCAGUGAGGAAUAUUGGACAAUGGGCGCAAGCCUGAUCCAGCCAUGCCGCGUGCAGGAUGACGGUCCUAUGGAUUGUAAACUGCUUUUAUACAGGAAGAAACCCCUCUACGUGUAGAGACUUGACGGUACUGUAAGAAUAAGGAUCGGCUAACUCCGUGCCAGCAGCCGCGGUAAUACGGAGGAUCCAAGCGUUAUCCGGAAUCAUUGGGUUUAAAGGGUCCGUAGGCGGUCAGGUAAGUCAGUGGUGAAAGCCCAUCGCUCAACGGUGGAACGGCCAUUGAUACUGUCUGACUUGAAUUAUUAGGAAGUAACUAGAAUAUGUAGUGUAGCGGUGAAAUGCUUAGAGAUUACAUGGAAUACCAAUUGCGAAGGCAGGUUACUACUAAUUGAUUGACGCUGAUGGACGAAAGCGUGGGUAGCGAACAGGAUUAGAUACCCUGGUAGUCCACGCCGUAAACGAUGGAUACUAGCUGUUGGGAGCAAUCUCAGUGGCUAAGCGAAAGUGAUAAGUAUCCCACCUGGGGAGUACGAACGCAAGUUUGAAACUCAAAGGAAUUGACGGGGGCCCGCACAAGCGGUGGAGCAUGUGGUUUAAUUCGAUGAUACGCGAGGAACCUUACCAAGGCUUAAAUGUAGAUUGACCGGUUGGAAACAG